UUUCUCUGAAUGCACCGGACCUGGUGGAGGCAAAUAUUGCUGGAGUUUCAUCUGGAAUCAAUGAAUCUCUCGCUUCAGUCAGUAGUCUUUUCUUGGAUUUAUCACCCUCGGAGACUCCUAGUGGAUGUAUCUUCUAUCAGUUAGUAUAUCUACAGAUCUAUACACAUGAACCAGACUGGUAUGAUCUACUUACUUGGAUGCUCGAACGUUCUCCUAAACUACAAGUUCUGAAACUCGUUGACGAAUAUACUAAACAUCGUGUGUCCGGGUGGGAAUGGAAUAAACCAAAGGACAUCCCUGAAUGUUUGUUGUUACAUCU
Long non-coding RNA from Brassica oleracea var. oleracea, 319 nucleotides. RefSeq lists it as uncharacterized. The transcript is spliced from 3 exons. The record is from RefSeq and is a predicted model, not a curated record. NCBI's taxonomy places the organism in Eukaryota, Viridiplantae, Streptophyta, Magnoliopsida, Brassicales, Brassicaceae.